GUCAGUUCUUCAUGGUGGACAAAGGGAUACAAAACCUAUUCCGUUCUGACUCUCCACAGCAGUACCAGGCCCCAGCCCAGCCACCACCUCCAGCCUCUCCUCCCGUCGUCUCCCCCCCAGAGGGUGACCACCACCUAGCCCUGCGAGCCUCCGACGGACCCCUGCCCGGCUCCUUCCCCUACUCCUCUGCCACUCAUCUCAAACGUCUCCACACCGCCCCCAUCUGCUCCUCCAACACAGAGACAGAGACAGCCCAGCAAGAGCCACCGGGCCUGGGCAGGCCCUCCAUCGCCUGCUCCCUGGGAUCCAACCGUCCAGCCGACGACCAGGAACAAACCCAAGACGACGCGGUCUCCUCCAGCACUGACCCCCAGGGGAGCACUGUGGACCCCCACCUCCAGACCCACCCUUACAGAGUCAGACCCCGAGCCCACCGACGAGGGCCUCCGUCGGGGAAGAUCAGCUCGCCCUGCCUGGAGAGGCUGCUCCAGUCCAAGGAGAGCAUCAUCUCACCCAGAAACAUGGGAGGUCAGAGUCCGGGAGGUGGUGGGGAGAGCAUCAUCUCACCCAGAAACAUGGGAGGUCAGAGUCCGGGAGGUGGUGGGGAGAGCAUCAUCUCACCCAGAAACAUGGGAGGUCAGAGUCCGGGAGGUGGUGGGGAGAGCAUCAUCUCACCCAGAAACAUGGGAGGUCAGAGUCCGGGAGGUGGUGGGGAGAGCAGCCGUUCGUAACAGCUAGACUCAGACAUGGUCCAUGGAGGAGAUAAGGACUGAUCUGGGCACAGAGUUGACCCGGGAGACACUGAGCUGUAUCUUUCCACAACAGGCUCCCCAAUACAGCAGGGGGCAAAGGUCGGUGUCUGAGCGGGACGCUGUCUCUUUAAGAGCUGUGUGUCAUGUGAUCCAUCAUGUGAUCCAACUACGGUUGGUUUAUCUGCAGUAAGACACUGAGACAUGGAGGAGACAUAUUAUAGACCUGCAGUAAGACACAGAGACAUGGAGGAGAGGAGACAUAUUAUAGACCUGCAGUAAGACACUGAGACAUGGAGGAGACAUAUUAUAGACCUGCAGUAAGACACAGAGACAUGGAGGAGACAUAUUAUAGACCUGCAGUAAGACACAGAGACAUGGAGGAGACAUAUUAUAGACCUGCAGUAAGACACAGAGACAUGGAGGAGACAUAUUAUAGACCUGCAGUAAGACACAGAGACAUGGAGGAGACAUAUUAUAGACCUGCAGUAAGACACAGAGACAUGGAGGUGAGGAGACAUAUUAUAGACCUGCAGUAAGACACAGAGACAUGGAGGAGACAUAUUAUAGACCUGCAGUAAGACACUGAGACAUGGAGGAGAGGAGACAUAUUAUAGACCUGCAGUAAGACACAGAGACAUGGAGGAGAGGAGACAUAUUAUAGACCUGCAGUAAGACACUGAGACAUGGAGGAG
Long non-coding RNA from Oncorhynchus tshawytscha (Chinook salmon), 1444 nucleotides. NCBI's taxonomy places the organism in Eukaryota, Metazoa, Chordata, Actinopteri, Salmoniformes, Salmonidae. The record is from Ensembl.